ACGCUCGACACCUACGGGAGGCAGCAGUCGGGAAUAUUGCGCAAUGGAGGAAACUCUGACGCAGUGACGCCGCGUGCAGGAAGAAGGUUUUCGGAUUGUAAACUGCUUUAGACAGGGAAGAGGAAGGACAGUACCUGUAGAAUAAGCUCCGGCUAACUACGUGCCAACAGCCGCGGUAAUCUGAGCGGGCUGGCAAGGC
This 199-nucleotide ribosomal RNA is filed under the name uncultured bacterium. Its description in RNAcentral is "partial 16S ribosomal RNA". It matches the Rfam family "Bacterial small subunit ribosomal RNA", at positions 328 to 539 of the family's 1533-position model. The record is from RNAcentral.